Molecule: long non-coding RNA, 817 nt
Organism: Vigna angularis (adzuki bean)
Lineage: Eukaryota; Viridiplantae; Streptophyta; Magnoliopsida; Fabales; Fabaceae
Exons: 2
Source: RefSeq, a predicted model, not a curated record
CGUAAAAAUAUUCUAUUCAAUAUGGUCUGCCGACAACUUUUGUCCGUAUUCUAUGUCACGAGUUUCAUCAUGCUCACAGUUUUGAUUCCUCUUUUCUUUUUGCGCCUUCAUCAGUAUGAUUAAAAAAGCUGUUUCUGUGUGCCAUUCUUCUUAUUAUGAUUAUCACUGUAAAGUCUCUUGUAACCUUACACAAUAUUUCUUUCUUGCAUCAUUGUUGAAGAAGGUUUGAGAGAGAAAGAGAGGAAAAGGGAGACAAAAUUGGAGGAAGACAUGGGUAUGGGGGGAUUGGGAAGUAAAGCUUAUGCUAUGCUAUUGUUAAAUCCAUCUCUAACCAUAGCAAAGCAAAAUAUGGUGUUUCUUCCCUACACCUCCCAUACCGCUGUUUUCCUCUAUUUCUUCCCCUUCCUCCUCUUUCUGCUGCUUAUUCAUCUCAGAUCUCUCAACUUUUCCCAUCUGAUCUAGACAAGUUUGGUUCAAGUUCUUGUUUAACAAAUUAUACGAACGCAUAAAACAGCCACUUGUCUGGAUCUGAGUUCAUUAAACAAAUUUCACUGAAGCAAGAACCAUCUUCAUACGACAGCAGUUGGACCCAAGAAAGCAAAAUCAAGAACUCUCAUCAAAGCCCUUACCUUUAACGCACCUUUCUCCUUUUCCAUGAAUCUUUCUCUCCCUACGAUCACCACCACCCAAAACAAAAAACUUUAAAUACUGAUGCGGUUAAUUCUCGUUUAGCUAAUUUGUUGCUAUUUUUCUUAAAAGUUAGAUAUAUUUGUUUCUGUAAUUUCAUUCUUCCUAAAUUUGAAAUGUUAUUUUUCUA